Molecule: long non-coding RNA, 570 nt
Filed under: Trifolium pratense (red clover)
Lineage: Eukaryota; Viridiplantae; Streptophyta; Magnoliopsida; Fabales; Fabaceae
Description: long non-coding RNA (TPRA_LNC003303)
Source: RNAcentral
UACAAAUACGGAUAGCGCGGUUUCUUUGACAAUAACCAUUCCCAAGACAUGCGCUUUAUCUUUUCAACCACCUCUUCGACAACAUAGGGAUUUUAAGCAAAAAUAACAUCGUUCCUUGCUUUUCAAAUUGCUCAGACCACCCUUGCCAAAUCAUCACAACUCCCUUUCGUCUUUUCUUGGCCACCUUGAAGGCCCCAAAGAAAGAGAGAAACAUUGCCCCGAUCGUAUCGGGCAAAAUCCCCAAAAGCCCAAACCAUUUAUAAAUCUUCACCCAAAUAUUCCAAGCAAAGGGGCAUAACAAGAAAAGGUGAUCCUCGUUUGGUCUCCAUUUAACCUCAUUUCCCUUCUAACCAAAUUAAUUAACUCUAGUUGGAAGGCUUUUAAGUAAAGCUUGCCAAGAAAACAUCACCACCUUUGAUGGAGCCCAACUAUCCCAAACCCCCUCCACCACCCGAGUGACGGACCUCAAGGAAGAAAAAGAGGAAGGAGCGAGUUUUUGACAUAAGUGUUGGUAAUUUGCCUUGAUCGAGUACUACCACCCCUAUCCAGACCAAACUCCCAAACAUCGUC